Non-coding RNA from Ricinus communis (castor bean), 107 nucleotides. NCBI's taxonomy places the organism in Eukaryota, Viridiplantae, Streptophyta, Magnoliopsida, Malpighiales, Euphorbiaceae. The record is from Rfam.
AAACCAAGAUAUGGACAACUCCUCGGCAAAUCCUUGAAAUGUUCCCAACAAUCAUACAAAGUUUCAUUCUCAUACUAAAGAAACCCUGCUAUGUCAUUCCUCAACUU